This 567-nucleotide long non-coding RNA is filed under the name Elaeis guineensis (African oil palm). Its description in RNAcentral is "long non-coding RNA (EGUI_LNC032144)". Lineage: Eukaryota; Viridiplantae; Streptophyta; Magnoliopsida; Arecales; Arecaceae. The record is from RNAcentral.
CUCCCCCCUCCAAACUUAUUUUCCAUUGUCUCCAAUAGAAGAAGAGAAUAAUAAAGUAGAAUAAAAUAGAAAAAAAAAUUACAAGAAAAGAUACUAUCUGAAUUCGAUGUGCUCAUUUAUUACCGGGUAAGAGGUUCUUUCUUUGUGGGUGUGAUUUAUUCGUGACUCCAUCUAGACCUUAGAUGGAAUGCUCUCCCCAACUUGGUUGAUUGUUCUUCUCAGGUUUUCCUAUCAAAAGAAAAGAAGAUAGAUAAUUAGAAAAAUGCAUAAGCUGGGUUGCCUCCCAAGAGCGCUAAGUUUAAAGUCUUCAGUCAGACUGUACUGAGUAUUAUUCAACUGGAUUCACUAGAUCAACAGAUUUAAUUAGCUCCCCAUCAUUGAUUCCUUACAGAUAUGGUUUCAGACGCUGGCCAUUUACCUUAAAAAUGUUUUCCUAUUUAGGAUCUCUGAGUUCUACAGCACCAUGAGAAAAUACCUGGGUCACGAUGAAGGGUCCAUCCCAGUGUGAGCAAAGUUUUUCAAGAAAAAGAUGCAACCUAGAAUUGAAGAGACAUACUUUCUGAUUGA